GCGUCAGUUAGGGAGGGACGUUAUUGUACACAAAAGCGUUCGGUAGAAAAUAAAAUCCCAUGAAAUUUCCAUAGUUGCUCGACAGAGUGUCCGCGGGAACGCUGUUCGUCCUCGUUCCGUUUAAACGGGCCAAAGAAAUGAUUGUACAGUUGACUUUCAAGGUCGCGAGAUCUCCUCGCGCUCAUGUUUCCGGGUGAUCGUAGCUCGUUACCACGAUUUCUGCAACGCUUCGACGCAGGCUCGACGAUUCAGCGUCGCGACCUCUCUGCUCCUGUGUCGAACUUGCUGAGAAAUUGGUACUGGAAACAGACGAAAGGCUGCGAUUAGAAUUCUUCGGGGAAACGAAUCGGAUCGAACUACCUGCUGCGACUCGGACCACUGCGAUCGACCGAACCCGUGCACGUUCGCUGCUUCUCCUUCGCAGCCGCCUUCGAUUUGUAAUUGUCAAGACGACCUACCUUUCCCAUCUCCUUGAACGCCGGAGCGUGUUUGUCGGCUAUUUCGACGGAACGCUAUGGAACCAUUCGAUGGGUCGAUUCGAAGAUCGAACGACAGUGGAACACGUGCAUGUGGCUAAAUUAACCGCGAAGCGGAAGUGCGGGUCUCGGCAAGUCAAUGAGAACACAGGUUAGACUAGAGCUGGAUCAGGGAGGAGAAAGAGAAAGAGAGAGAGAGAGAGAGAGAGAGAGAGAGAGAAGCAAAGAAACUGGGAAAAGUACGAAAGCUCUCGAGCAGGUGUAUGCGCUAACGAGAUGCGUGCAACUCGCUAUUGGAACGACACAGUGCAACGAAAGUCGCUCGCUCGACGGAUCAUCUAAUUGCAAGAGCGUUACUAGCGCGUUACAGUUCGAGAUAUCGACGGGAAAUAUUGGCCUGUUUCACGGUUCACAGUCGAGAGCUGCGAAGGGGCGGAGAAGAAGAAAGACUGCUUUGGACGACCAAUAUUUGCCGCCGUUGUCAUGCCGCACAGUGGUCGAUAUUCAUGUAAAGUGGGACAAAACGAAAAAACAAAUUGUUUUAUAAAUUCAAGAUUAUUGGAUAAUUUGAUCCGUUAGUAUCUGACACGUGUCCGAUUAUAAGCGGGAAAAAUGUGUAAACAAAUUGAAUUUAUUCUCAGAAGUAAUUUUUCUCUCCCACCGAAAUAGCUUAUUAACUUAUUGAAAAUCCUGAAAAUAUGACUUUAAAAUAUUGCAAUAAUAAUCAUAGUCUAUAACAUAUGUUUCGGUGUAACAAGUUCGUUGGAAUGCGUUCGAAUCAAUUGUUUCUUGUUGUAACUACGGUAUAAGAUUGAAAAUCGUAAACACAAGUGCCUGUUAACCUGCGGGAUGGCCAAUUUUCAUUUAUUUCAUAUAUUAUCAAUUUUAUAAAUUUUAUUGCACUGCC
Long non-coding RNA from Megalopta genalis, 1383 nucleotides. RefSeq lists it as uncharacterized. The record is from RefSeq and is a predicted model, not a curated record. Lineage: Eukaryota; Metazoa; Arthropoda; Insecta; Hymenoptera; Halictidae.